This is a long non-coding RNA of Sphaeramia orbicularis (orbiculate cardinalfish), 640 nucleotides long. RefSeq lists it as uncharacterized. The record is from RefSeq and is a predicted model, not a curated record. NCBI's taxonomy places the organism in Eukaryota, Metazoa, Chordata, Actinopteri, Kurtiformes, Apogonidae. The transcript has 7 exons.
CCAUAUGGAUGCCGUUGUUGCAACAGCAUUAUUUUCGGGGAGGUUCCGUAGCCACAGUAAGGUGAAAUUUCCAGUUGAGGACAUGUGGUUGUGCCCUUUGAAUUUUUCUGCACACUGGAUUCUUGUGAUUGUCAACAUCCCCACAAGGACCCUGAUCCUAAUAGAUCCCAUGGGCAAUGAGGACCAUUAUGAAAGAAAAGUUCUUCGCAAGUGAAGGAACUUUCUGAAGAUGAAGGACAGGUCUGCGGAGUCGUGGCAGAUACAGACUCUGCAGCAUCAUAAACAGCAGGACUCAAGUAGCUGUGGAGUUUUGGUGCUGAAGUUUGCAGAGAACUUCAUUUUGGCGGGUGAAGCAAGGGAGGUACUGAGCUGAGGCUGUGAAGCAGUACAGAGGGCAGAUAGCCUGUAGCCUGCUAGAAAAUCGGGGCAACGCAGAAGAUUACUGCGUGGUGUGCUCCAUGCUGGAGAACGAUGCCGAGCGCAGCAUGAUUGAAAUGGUGCAGUGUGGGACAUGUCUGCGGUGGGCCCAUUUUGAAUGUGUGAAUGAUGCGCACACAGAUUAUCGUUGUCAUAAAUGUUUGAGAGAUUUGUGAAUUUUGAUUAUGUAAGUGAUGUGUAAAUAGUUAUUGUGUGAAUGUGC